GUUAGGAAUGUCUUAGAGCAACGUUAGGUGCAGAUUAACCAUUGGCUAUUUCAUUUCCUCAACCACUAGAGGCAAAAGGUCUUUCUCAGAAGUUGAUUUGCUUUGACCUCAGUUUCGAAUAUUUUCCAGUUUGCUACAAAAGAAAGCAUUUGUUUCUUUCUGGAUAACUCUUCCCAGGGUCAUUUUUCAUGGACAGUUUGAAUCUAUAGGAAAGCGUGCAGUAUCAAAAGGCUCCUCAGUCCCAAGAUUUCACAGAUCAAGCAAAUGGGAAAGCAAGUUUUAUAUGAAACAUGUAUCCAUUUAUCCAUUUUCAAA
Molecule: long non-coding RNA, 315 nt
Organism: Cucurbita moschata (crookneck pumpkin)
Lineage: Eukaryota; Viridiplantae; Streptophyta; Magnoliopsida; Cucurbitales; Cucurbitaceae
Exons: 4
Source: RefSeq, a predicted model, not a curated record